This 439-nucleotide ribosomal RNA is filed under the name uncultured bacterium. Its description in RNAcentral is "bacterial SSU rRNA". It matches the Rfam family "Bacterial small subunit ribosomal RNA", at positions 28 to 507 of the family's 1533-position model. The record is from RNAcentral.
GAUGAACGCUAGCUACAGGCUUAACACAUGCAAGUCGAGGGGUUCUGAAGGAGCUUGCUUCUGAUGAACGACCGGCGCACGGGUGAGUAACGCGUAUCCAACCUGCCCUUCAUAUUGGGAUAGCCUUCCUGGAUGAAAGAUUCAUCGGUCAUGGAUGGGGAUGCGUAAGAUUAGGUAGUAGGCGGGGUAACGGCCCACCUAGCCGACGAUCUUUAGGGGUUCUGAGAGGAAGGUCCCCCACACUGGUACUGAGACACGGACCAGACUCCUACGGGAGGCAGCAGUGAGGAAUAUUGGUCAAUGGGCGGAAGCCUGAACCAGCCAAGUAGCGUGAAGGAUUACUGCCCUACGGGUUUUAAACUUCUUUUAUGCGAGAGUAAUGUGCGCUACGUGUAGCGUAUUGCAAGUAUCGCAUGAAUAAGCAUCGGCUAACCCCGUG